GACGAACGCUGGCGGCGUGCUUAACACAUGCAAGUCGAACGGAAAGGCCCCUUCGGGGGUACUCGAGUGGCGAACGGGUGAGUAACACGUGAGUAACCUGCCCUUGACUUCGGGAUAACUUCAGGAAACUGGGGCUAAUACCGGAUAGGAAUCCUUGCUGCAUGGUGGGGGUUGGAAAGCUUCGGCGGUUUUGGAUGGACUCGCGGCUUAUCAGCUUGUUGGUGGGGUAGUGGCUUACCAAGGCUUUGACGGGUAGCCGGCCUGAGAGGGCGACCGGCCACAUUGGGACUGAGAUACGGCCCAGACUCCUACGGGAGGCAGCAGUGGGGAAUAUUGCACAAUGGGCGGAAGCCUGAUGCAGCAACGCCGCGUGCGGGAUGACGGUCUUCGGGUUGUAAACCGCUUUCAGCAGGGGCGAAGCUUGUGGUGACGGUACCUGCAGAAGAAGCACCGGCUAACUACGUG
This 465-nucleotide ribosomal RNA is filed under the name uncultured bacterium. RNAcentral describes it as "partial 16S ribosomal RNA". It matches the Rfam family "Bacterial small subunit ribosomal RNA", at positions 28 to 507 of the family's 1533-position model. The record is from RNAcentral.